UGAGUAACCUGCCCUUAACUCUGGGAUAAGCCUGGGAAACUGGGUCUAAUACCGGAUAUGACUCCUCAUCGCAUGGUGGGGGGUGGAAAGCUUUAUUGUGGUUUUGGAUGGACUCGCGGCCUAUUAGCUUGUUGGUGAGGUAAUGGCUCACCAAGGCGACGACGGGUAGCCGGCCUGAGAGGGCGAUCGGCCACAUUGGAACUGAGACACGGUCCAGACUCCUACGGGAGGCGG
Molecule: ribosomal RNA, 234 nt
Filed under: uncultured bacterium
Lineage: Bacteria
Description: partial 16S ribosomal RNA
Rfam family: Bacterial small subunit ribosomal RNA
Source: RNAcentral